GCUCGUAGGCGGCCUGUUGCGUCCGCUGUGAAAUCCCGGGGCUCAACCCCGGGCCUGCAGUGGAUACGGGCAGGCUGGAGGCAGGCAGGGGAGAACGGAAUUCCUGGUGUAGCGGUGAAAUGCGCAGAUAUCAGGAGGAACACCGGUGGCGAAGGCGGUUCUCUGGGCCUGUACUGACGCUGAGGAGCGAAAGCGUGGGGAGCGAACAGGAUUAGAUACCCUGGUAGUCCACGCCGUAAACGUUGGGCGCUAGGUGUGGGUCCCUUCCACGGGGUCUGUGCCGCAGCUAACGCAUUAAGCGCCCCGCCUGGGGAGUACGGCCGCAAGGCUAAAACUCAAAGAAAUUGACGGGGGCCCGCACAAGCGGCGGAGCAUGUUGCUUAAUUCGACGCAACGCGAAGAACCUUACCAAGGCUUGACAUGGCCUCAAAAGCCGCAGAGAUGUGGUGUCCGCAAGGGGGGGGUCACAGGUGGUGCAUGGCUGUCGUCAGCUCGUGUCGUGAGAUGUUGGGUUAAGUCCCGCAACGAGCGCAACCCUCGUCCUAUGUU
Molecule: ribosomal RNA, 549 nt
Filed under: uncultured bacterium
Lineage: Bacteria
Description: bacterial SSU rRNA
Rfam family: Bacterial small subunit ribosomal RNA
Source: RNAcentral